GGCUGGUCUGAAGGUAGUGAGUUAUCUCAGUUGAUUGUUCACAGUCAGUUACAGAUCGAACUCCUUGUUCUUUCCUUCCCCUUUCUCACUGCUGCUCUUGACUAGUCUUAA
Molecule: unclassified non-coding RNA, 111 nt
Organism: Cercocebus atys (sooty mangabey)
Lineage: Eukaryota; Metazoa; Chordata; Mammalia; Primates; Cercopithecidae
Rfam family: Y RNA
About the family: Y RNAs are components of the Ro ribonucleoprotein particle (Ro RNP), in association with Ro60 and La proteins. The Y RNAs and Ro60 and La proteins are well conserved, but the function of the Ro RNP is not known.
Source: Ensembl